AUCACCACCACCACGUCCCCCUGCCCCAAUGACCUUGUGCCCGCAUUCCUGACGUCCUUGCCCCUCACACGCACACGCGCACCACCCCACCCCGCCACCUACCUCCAGCGCAGAGAGAGAACGAGCAUACAAGCACGCGCACGUGCUCCGCAUCUGCGAGUAUCUGCACCAACGUCCUCUUGCUCUCACACCCACUCCCUUCGGGCGCGUGCGGUGGCGCAUGUGUUGUGCUCCUACUCGUCAUUAGCAGCACCCGACUCACCGACGCGCGAGGCGGUGCAGCGACAAGCGUUAGAAGAAGACCGGCGCCGAGAAACAGCUCCGACAGAGGCCCCCAGAUACGCGCCAUCCAUAGCAGCUGACGAUGGAGAACUUGAUGUGGCUGCGGUAGGCGCCCCCUCUGAAAUCUCUGACCUCAGCGAUAGCACUCACCGCAUCUCCACCCCCGACGGCGCUGCAGCGCUGGCCUCCGUAAGCGCGUCGUCUGCGCUGUUAACGUCUCUGUCGCCGCCCAGCCACACAGCUCCCCUAGGCACGUCAGCGCGACCUCACAUGCCUCUCAUGCGCACGGCCACAAUGGAAACCUCGUCGCGCCUGUCCCCUCCUCCGUGCCACCACACCGCCGAAAGUCUCAGCAAAGAGCACCUCCGCCCUCCGCCGCCGGAGUCCGAGUCGUAUGUUAGCAUCAGACCCCCCCCCCCCACAACCACCUGGCGCCAGUGGGGCGCGUCUCUUUGAGCAUAUGCCAUCGCCAUCGCCGCCGCCGCCGCUGCUGCCCCCCCCUGCAUUCGCUGACAGGCUCGACGCACCUGUGUUCUCCUCGAUGCAUGUGAGUGCGCCGUGGUCAACAGCCGCGCUGAUCACCGGAGGCGGUUUCUCCGCCGUCGCCGCCAGUGGUAGGCACACAUGCGCUUACGAACACCCUUCCUGGCAGCCGCGGCUGCACUAGCAGCGGCGAUUCUUUUUUGGCCCGGGAGGGGCCAGCGACGCCUGGAGUACGCACCCUGUACAGGCUCUCGGCAUCGGCGGUAGUUGUAAUGAUCUGCCCUAUUCGUACACCAAGCCAAACAUGACUCCCGCCGACGCCGACACGCCACCCGCGAUGCUCUCUGUCAGCGGCAGCUAUCAUAAUGCUCCCCUUAGCCAAGUCAACGGAACAAGCUCACUGUUGGGUGACAUUCCAUCACCGGCAGUGCUGACCUGCGUCGUCGUCUUUUCCGGUGACGAGCAGGAAGUGUUCUGGCGCCGUGCGUGGCUCCGCGUGACGUGCGUACCCGUGACCAACACAUCGGGACGGCACCGCGAGGCAGCAGCAGAAGCAUCACGCAUCACGGAACCAUCUAUAAGCCUCGACGAGAUCAGAGACGGCGCCUGCAGCAGCAGUUGUAGCAACAGCGACAGGACGGGCUGCGCCAGUGGAAAGAAACUUAAUGAGUUCGUGUGGCGCUGGCUCGACACACUCGGCAUGACUGACGCCGUUGAAGACGUCCUCUCCCCCGGCGCGGGUCGCCUGUCGGUUGUGUGGACGGCAGGUGUCAUGUACGAGCAAGACAGUAGAGGAGGGGCUCUAGCGAUGACGCACAGAAGUCGUCGGCAGCAGGAGCGCGGCUGGCGAGGCUGCUCGGUGUCAGAGAUGGUGGUGAAAGCCGCGACAGCGUCGUCCCUGGUGCACCGUGCGAGGUUGUCUUUGACGGAAUGCGUCUUCUACUGGACUGAGUCGUGGUCACUGCGCACGCGAGGGCUCGUGGCGGAUGGUGAGCAACCGGAGGCGAGGCGCGAAAAGGAAGACGAGGUGCGCCAUGAUUGUCGUCCUCUCUUGCCCGUCGAAGAGGAAAAGAGGGGAAUAGAAAGGGGGCCCCUCUUCCUCUCCUUCGCCCUUAAGCGGGGCGCCACUCAUGGCGCAGCCACAGGCUCGCACACAUACCGCACUUCAUGAGCAAGCGCAGAGACGCUCACCGCAAAG
RNAcentral lists this unclassified non-coding RNA (1963 nucleotides) under Leishmania donovani. Its description in RNAcentral is "gene:unknown". The record is from RNAcentral. Lineage: Eukaryota; Euglenozoa; Kinetoplastea; Trypanosomatida; Trypanosomatidae.